Non-coding RNA from Paramuricea clavata, 294 nucleotides. NCBI's taxonomy places the organism in Eukaryota, Metazoa, Cnidaria, Anthozoa, Malacalcyonacea, Plexauridae. The record is from the annotation of a GenBank genome assembly.
CCUUUAUUUGCUGCGUAUUUAUUAAUCUGUAAUUUGAACUUGUGGAAUGUUCUGUUGCGGAAUAUAAUUUGCGACAAGUGGAAGUUCCAGAAUUUCAACUAUUUUUCAACCAAUUACAUGCUUAGAAUAUAUCACGUGUUGUAGUAAUUCGAUCUGUUGAUAACAAGCGCUAAGUUCGAUCUUUUGCAAACAUUCAAAGAGGAAAGGAUUUUUAUUCAAAUUUUCCACUUAUAAAGUUCCAAAGACCUAAUAAAAUACAUGGAAUUUGUUUUCAAAGGUAUGUCUAUUGUGUAU